This is a long non-coding RNA of Dermatophagoides pteronyssinus (European house dust mite), 431 nucleotides long. Lineage: Eukaryota; Metazoa; Arthropoda; Arachnida; Sarcoptiformes; Pyroglyphidae. The record is from RefSeq and is a predicted model, not a curated record.
UAUUUUUUCUUCACCAAAUCACAAUCACUCUAUCCUAUCCUAUCUCAUAUCGUUUUAAAGUCUAAAUUGAACUAAACUAAACUAAACUAAAUUGAACAAUGAAAAUUUUUUUGUUGUUGUUUAUUCGUUCAAAUUUUCAGCUUAAUAAAAAACACCUAUACCUCAAAUUUAUGAAUCCAUGUGCGCGUGUGUCUUUGUGUUACUCUUUUACAAAAUGUGAAAUGGUCAUUGAUUUUGGUUAUAUAAGCCUAAUGUAGGAUUGAAAAAAAACUGCAACUUCGAUGUCAGCAAUGUGUAUUUUAAACAGCUUGUAUAAAAUAAAUCCCAGUGAAAAUUUAUUUGUUUUAAUACAUAUUUCGUGGUCGAUAUUACUUUUUUUCAUAUAAAAAUCGAAUCGAUUGAUUGCUCGUAUCAUCAGUCGUCAAGCAACA